UGGAGCAUGUGGUUAAUUCGAAGCAACGCGAAGAACCUUACCAGGCCUUGACAUGCAGAGAACUUUCCAGAGAUGGAUUGGUGCCUUCGGGAACUCUGACACAGGUGCUGCAUGGCUGUCGUCAGCUCGCGUCGUGAGAUGUUGGGUUAAGUCCCGUAACGAGCGCAACCCUUGUCCUUAGUUACCAGCACGUUAUGGUGGGCACUCUAAGGAGACUGCCGGUGACAAACCGGAGGAAGGUGGGGAUGACGUCAAGUCAUCAUGGCCCUUACGGCCUGGGCUACACACGUGCUACAAUGGUCGGUACAAAGGGUUGCCAAGCCGCGAGGUGGAGCUAAUCCCAUAAAACCGAUCGUAGUCCGGAUCGCAGUCUGCAACUCGACUGCGUGAAGUCGGAAUCGCUAGUAAUCGUGAAUCAGAAUGUCACGGUGAAUACGUUCCCGGGCCUU
RNAcentral lists this ribosomal RNA (449 nucleotides) under uncultured Pseudomonas sp. RNAcentral's name for it is "bacterial SSU rRNA". It matches the Rfam family "Bacterial small subunit ribosomal RNA", at positions 933 to 1382 of the family's 1533-position model. Lineage: Bacteria; Pseudomonadati; Pseudomonadota; Gammaproteobacteria; Pseudomonadales; Pseudomonadaceae. The record is from RNAcentral.